This 73-nucleotide transfer RNA is filed under the name Salinarchaeum sp. IM2453. It matches the Rfam family "tRNA". Rfam says of the family: Transfer RNA (tRNA) molecules are approximately 80 nucleotides in length. Their secondary structure includes four short double-helical elements and three loops (D, anti-codon, and T loops). Further hydrogen bonds mediate the characteristic L-shaped molecular structure. tRNAs have two regions of fundamental functional importance: the anti-codon, which is responsible for specific mRNA codon recognition, and the 3' end, to which the tRNAs corresponding amino acid is attached (by aminoacyl-tRNA synthetases). tRNAs cope with the degeneracy of the genetic code in two manners: having more than one tRNA (with a specific anti-codon) for a particular amino acid; and 'wobble' base-pairing, i.e. permitting non-standard base-pairing at the 3rd anti-codon position. The record is from Rfam by way of RNAcentral. Lineage: Archaea; Methanobacteriati; Methanobacteriota; Halobacteria; Halobacteriales; Natronoarchaeaceae.
AGCCCCGUGGUGUAGUGGCCAAUCAUAGGGGCCUUUGGAGCCCCUGACAGCGGUUCGAAUCCGCUCGGGGCUA